ACCAGCCAUGGCUCUCUGUGUGAAAGGACGAGUGUAAGCUACCUGGGAUGCAGCCACACUGGCCAGUGUCAGCAGUUUCAGACCAGGGGCUAGGAAGGGAAUGUUGGACUUUUUCCAGAAGAAUCUAGAACUCUCUGGAAGAGAUGACACGGGCCUAGGAAUAUGAGUGGGUUUUGGUCUUGUGGCUGGAAAAGAAAGACUUCUGGUCAAGGUAGAGGGACACUAUCAUCUGGAUCCUGCAUCUAUCUGGAGAUCCCAUAUUCUGUGGCUGGGCAGGAGAGCACAAAUAAGAAGCAAACAAAAGAGGCUAGGGAAGGCUCUCUGCACCAACACUCUGAAAACUAGAGGUCCAGGCUGCUACUCUGACAGCCUCUCAUCCAGCUCACCAAUGGAGGCCUCAGGAGUUGCCCAACAAAACAAGCAUCUACCAGGUACCAAGGUGGCUGCUGCUGUCCUCAUCAUGAGCCUUGCCCUGUAAUGAGGACAGAGGAGCCUCAGUUCGCUCAGCUGAAGUGAUCCGCACGUUACGGGGCUUGUGUGAACAUGUGUGAAAUGAGGCAUCGGCACCUCCAGCACAAGGGCCAGUGCUCGGAAGAGGACACAGAAGAAAGCACCAUUUUGACCUGUGAAAUAAAGGUGCCGAGGGACAGUGGUCGACAGCUGAGAACUGACGCAGGGAAAGCGAACGAACAUCUACAGGACGCUGCUCUAUACACAGUAUUAAUUGUGCUCCAGCUAUAGGGGCACAGUGCUGGCCUCCUCUACAUGAAGUCUCUCCUUGACCAGCUCUGAUGAUAAAUGAGUCUGACAAGGAGGUCUCCUCUUCGAUUCAUAUAAUUAAUUAUCCCUUGAGAAGUGGCCAAUUUAGGAGCGCGUUUUUCUUUUUGAAGAGACAGACUGGCCGACUAACCGAAGGCCACAGGAGAGGUUCCACAGCCAGCCAAGCCCAGCAGCACCACCAGGCAAGAGCACUUGGAAGUCCUUGGAAACCUCCUUCCGAGGUUCACAGUUCUCCCUGGUGAUUUGGGAAAAAGGUGAGAGUGGCUAUUAUAUUAGUGAAGAUGUCAGAAGUGGAGAAGAGCAAAGCUGUUCUGCUGGGUGCCCGAUCUGUGAGUGACUGCAUUUCCGUGGGUAAGGGAAGGAGUGGGGCGGGAGUUUCCAAACCCUGCUCAAAGCUGCUCGCUGCAGGACAGGGUCUCCUUCCCUUCUCGUCUUUUCCCUCCCCUCCCCCAACUCUCUUUCUAAGCCCCUCUCCAAAAAGGUUUAUGGAGACGACUCCAAAUAGCCCCCUCUCCUGCAGGCAUAGUCACACCAACCGAAAGGAGAUUUAAUUAGCAAAAUCUCGUUAGGCAAACGAAAUUAUCCGUAAGACAAUACUCUUCUGGACAGGGGGUAUGAUUAAACAAAGCCAUUAAUUGAGAGAGUCGUUUUGGCAGCUCCCGAGUUGCGUUCAUCUCCGGGCAGGCUCCACUCUGCCUCCGUGGACCUGGGAAACAGACUCUCGGCCUCCUCCCCUGCCUGCCUAACCCAUCUCUUCUCCACUUCAUCUCUGCUCUUCCCAGGGCCCCUCCGGUUAGGGCUGCAGACCUCCGCAUCUCAUCAGCGGCCUCUCUGCUGCCAGAUUCCCGCUAAAGUGCCUUGAUUGCAUAAUGUCUAUUUGCAUAAUGUAAAUUGCAAUCUCCUAGCUUGGGAGGCAGGAAUCACAGAACAGCCAUUAUUUUUUACCACUCCACAAAAAUUCUACGUUUAGAAAGCAGAUUUGCAGCACAGAAAGCCAUAUAAAUCUGAAUCUGCCAAAACGCCAUUAAAUCACACUAAUUAAGCUGGACCUAGGCAGAGUCCAUCCCUGCUCUCUGUUCACUCCAGUCCACAGAAGGUCAUAUAACACAAGAGAGGCCCAGACAGUAGGGCUAGAAGCAGAUGCUGAAGGGACCAGGCAGGGGACUCUUUCUUACAAACUUGAUCAGCACACUACCCAUAACAUCCCUCUACACAUAAACACACACACACACACACCCCUGGUAUAACAAGGAGGUUUAUUGUCUCAUGCUUUGUAGGUUGUACUUGUCUUGGCUGAGAUUUCCUUAUUAUUAUUAUUAUUAUUAUUAUUAGUAGUAGUAGUAGUAGUAGUAGUAGUAGUAGUAGUAAUAGUAGUAGUAAUAUUAAUAAUAAUUUUUUAUUUUGGGGGGUCUCUUUAUGUUAUCAUAGCUGGCCUGGAACUAGCUAUAUAGGCCAGACUGGUCUCAGAAACAGAGAUCUGCCUGUUUCUGCCUCAGUGAUUGAGACUAAAAGUGUGCCCUGCUGUGCCCAGUUUGCUGCAGACUUGUGAUUUGGAGAACAAAGGUAACUGCACCUUUAAGCAAAACCAAUGGGAGGCUUGAGCCAGGUACUUCACAGGAUUCAAAUCAAUUCCUAUCAGCUCUUUCUUAACCUUUCCUCUUCUCUGAGGGGAAGAGAAAGAGGGAGGGCAAAACCCUGGCUCUGACUAAACUGUUCUAGAUGGAGUCUGAGUUCCCUGAAGAGCCCUCUCUGAGGGUCCUUGGAGAGAGGGGUGAGUCCCAAGGUCUGGAAGUGUGGUACUCGCUUGGACAACCACCCAGCACUCUGGCUUCUCUGAGCAGUGUACCUGGAUACUCUUCUGCUUCUUUAUUGCUCAUUCAAUAUUAAUUUGUCAAAGGGCAAGAUGCUAAUGUGUAUUAUUAAAAUAUCAAUAGUUUAUGAGUGAACUUUAUGGCAAGUACAGUUAUAGGCAAGAUUCUUGACAAUCUCUCCCAAGUAACGGAAAGGAAUGAUCUUUCUCCCCUAGCUUCUUUCUUUCUAGUCUUUCUAAUUUUUUUUUUAAAAAAAUUUACUGGCAAAGUCACCAUUGAGCACUGAGUGCCAGGAAUGAGUACUCAUGGCUGGUUUUCCCCACAGUGGUCCUAGGAAGUGGAUACAAUGUGAUUCCUUUAAGUGAUCAAAUUUAACAGGUUUCUUGACCUACCUUUCAUGAGAGAGUAAAAAAGAGGAAAUUAUUCCAUAUCUUUAUGCCAAACAACCUUUGUAAAGUAGGCUCACUUUUACUCUGCCUGAGUAAGUCCCAGACUCUGCACUUAGAAUCUGAGUGCUGAAGGUAACACUGGACGUGAUCAGCAGACAUUUUCUUGUUAGAGGAGAAUAAACUGAGUAUCCUUCUUUUGGAGAAGAGAGAGGAGAUUCUGAGACAGGGUUUCUUGGUAUAUCCCUGGCUAUCUUUGAAUUCAUUCUGUAGACCAGGUUGGCCCUGAACUCUUUCUUUUGAAUUAGAUUUUAUUAUUAAAUUAGAUUCUCUUAAAUUAGAUUUCGUUAAUACAAUAAUUAUACACAUUAAAGGGGAUUGUCUAUAGAUUCGUACAAUACACGCUGAGCAAAUGAUGAAGCAGCUCAAGUCUUGAUGAUAAUUCUAAGUUGAAUUUCAACUGCUCCAUAGACUCCCUUCCUGUGGUACUUUCUUUGUCCUCUAGGCCUUCUCUUCUUUGUACCUACAGAGCUAAUAACAGAAUCCCAUAGCAUAGGGUGAGUGAGAAAAUGCACCCCAGAGGUUUAGCAUAGUGAACACUCGGCAAGCAUUGCUUACCAAUAUUAAAUUUGACUUCAUGAGUCACCACCUACCCCUCUUCUCUGCCUGGCUCCUGGUACUAGCCAUUCCCAAGUGUCUGCCCUCAUACGAUGGACUAGUUCUGUUUCUAUCUGCUCUUUGGUGGCUUGGGAUUCAUUUAAGUCACAAUUAGGAAACCAAAACACCCAGAUUCUCUUCAAAAUUUAGCAGCAUCUUUAUCAGGCAUGGGAAAGGUGAAGAGAGUGGUCCCUUAAAAGUCCCUUAAGUCUCUCCCAAGUCGGAAUGUGGGAUAGAGGGAAAAGAGACUAGCAGAGUAGUUGGAGAGACCAGGGAGAGAUCAGUGUGCAGGAUUCCUCAACCCCAUGAAGUGCCUUGUAGUUUCUUAAGCUCUGAGAUUUACCUGGAACCUACCCCGACUUUGAUGGCCAUGGCAAUGGAGAUGUGGAAAAAGGGUCCAGGCUUGUAGAGUCCCUGCUCACAGGUCUAGAAUCCUCUAGAUCUAAGAUUCCAAGCUGUGGGUUAUAAGUUACAUACUGGACUAAUUCUCCCUGGUAUGAGCCAUGAUGUUACAGUUCCUCCCAGCACAGGACCUGUUAGAACUACCACACCGUGCCUGAGAAGAGGCUGAGUUUGGCUUUGGAGGGUUUCCAAGGCUAAGGUUUCUUUCCAGAGUGUAAUGUGUGUUAUGUUGGUAAAUCGCCACGUGUUGUUUAAGUGCCCUGAGAUGCUGACUCUGGGAGCAGGAUUGCCCCUCAGCCCACUUCAGAUCCAAGCAUGCUUAUGCCCCCUGAAAGAAAGUCCUGAGUCAGGCCGGCCUUCUGGCUCUGUGAAGAAACAAAAAAACCAACCAGUAAGCAGCUAAGGGUGUUAAAAUCAUCAUGCCCUUGAAAAGAGCCUGGAGGUAAACCCUUUCCAACCAAGGUUACUACUGUUUAUCCCCUAAUGUGAAAAAUGUCUCCUGUGGGAACAGGAGGCCAGAAGCUCAGCUUCGAGAAGUUAACCUAUAGAUGGGAACUGCAAAUGGGGACUUGGCUGGCUGCCUCAACUUCCCCAGUUGGUUUCUUCUGGAUGACUAAGUAGCUGGUUUGACCAUGUCACUUUCCUGCUGUUAUUUGUUCUUUCAUUUGAGGCCUCACUCACAGGAGGGGACUCUGCUCUGCUUAGGGCUCUCUGUUGUGGGCUCCAGCUGGCCGCCUCGGCGGGCGGGGCUCCCUGAGUUUCUACUAGAUGUUCGUAAGCCCUGCUUUGAUGAUAUUACCUUUUGUCUGUACUCUCGGUCAGGAUAUUCCAAUUGCCUCCACCACCUGAUUUGAUGAUACUUUCGACGCCCGCUGCUUCUAUGGCCACUCGCUAUUUAUUCUUUUAUCUUUCCUUUGCUAUCUACUUAAUAAAUUUGUCCUCUUAAAACUGAAAGCACAGGCUGGAGAGAUGGCUCAGUGGUUAAGAGCACUGCCUGCUCUUCCGGAGGUCCUGAGUUCAAAUCCCAGCAACCACAUGGUGGCUCACAACCAUCUGUAAUGAGAUCUGAUAUACUCUUCUGGUGUGUCUGAAGACAGUCACAGUGUACUUAUAUAUAAUAAAUAAAUCUUAAAAAAAAAACAACUGAAAGCACAGCUAUCAUAGAUCACUCUCCAGACUGCACAGAACGCAUCCUGACCCCCAGGAAGGGUCAAUUUCAUUUGUUCUGAGGAAAUAGGUAAGGCCAGUUGUGGCGGACCAAUAGCAGCUCCAGUAGGUUGGGGGGGGGGUCUCCAAAGACGAGAGCAACAGCAUAUGAUGGCUUCCAUAUCUAUAGGUUAUAUCGCAGGUUCAAUUAAUCACAGAUGGGAAAUAUUUGAUAAAUAAAGCAUCUGGAGGGAACAAGUAAGAACAGGCGCUUUUCUUUUCUUUUCUUUUUUUUUUUGUUUCCCGUUAUUUCAUAAGCGACAUAGUAUCGGCAACUAUUUACAUUGUGUUCAGUCUUAUAAAUAAUCUACAGAGGGUUUCAAGGAUGUGGGAGGAUGUGCAUGGACCAUUUGUAAGUACUAUGCCUGCCAGUAUCUGCCUCUGCGUCUUCAGAUUUUUGAGUUCUGUAAGGGGUCCAGAACCAUUCCCUGUAAACACGAAGGGAUGGUUUAAAAAAAUUAAAACAGACACACACACACACACACACACACACACACACACACUGCCACCACCAGCACCACCAGCACCCCUGUCACCACCGCCAUGAAGUCACCACCCUUGGCUCUUCUCUUAAUCGGGGUGUUGAUACUGUUGAGAGGCAGCGAGGAGGAUCUUUGUACCUGUUCUGAUAGACAGAAUGAAGCUCAGAGGGCACUACUUGACUUUAUGGAGCAAGUCAAGAAAGGCAAUGAAGCCUCCUCGUGACUUUUGCACUCCCUCAGGCUGCUUCGCUUUAGAAUCUGGCAGCCAUAUUGUAAGGAAGCCCAGAGCACAUGGAAAGGCCAUGAAGUUCUGACUGACAGGUCUCAGUCAAGAGCUAGCAUCAAAGCCCAGAAAUCUGAGUGAAUGAGCCUAGGGUGAUUCUACCAUUCAGCUUUUGAGUUGCCUUAAGUGAAAUCCCAUACCCAACAGACAGACAAGUUGCCACUCGCCGUCAGAAUAAACGUUCAUCUCCUGUGUGUUGUAGGUCAGAUUGUUACACAGCCUAAUAGGACACCACUAGAAUUAAACGCUAUGUGUUGUUUCUAGCAAACUCAGCAACAAUCAUUGGAUUCCCACGAGUUCCCUCUGAAACUUCAGAUUUUCUCUUUCCUCUCGAUCUUGUCCCUGUCACUCUGAGUCUGCUGUCUCUCCUCUUCUGCUUCCCAUCUGAGGUGGCUUUGACAACUACUACCUGAAAAACCUUUGACACUUGCCCAUUCGAGAACCCUGGGCCUGCUCUUGGGUUUUCACUGUAGUACCAAGAACGUCCCUUUAAGGGAGUGCUAGGAAUGCCAGACUCCCUUACACAAUGGGGAGGGAAGAUACAGACCAAUAUCUCUCCCACUCUCAGCUCUCAUCAAAGUUCACGCUCAGCUUGCUCUUGGCUUAUGAGAUCCCAGUAACCUCGGAUACGAGGAGACAUCGAUUCUCACAGAGGUCAUUAUCCUUUACUCCGGCUCCCUCCGAACCACACUCGCGCCCACACCCUUAUCCUCAGUUCUGGGCAGACUUUCCUGGACAGGAUGGAGAAAGGCACCCUUCCCCACACCUUCAGCCUGAGGAUUCUACCACUCCAGAGCCCGGGCUUGAGAGGAGGUGCCCUGGGAGCUGAGGCCCGUCAAUCACUCACUCAGGCAACCAGCACUGAAUUGCAGGCCAUUAGGCAGAGGACCGGCGCCCUGCUCACUCACCGGGCAGCCAUCGGCAGGAUGUUAGCCGAUCGCAAGGCGGCCAUUCUUAUGAUUUAUUCAAACGCUCAUUACAGUCAAUCUAUUUUUACACAGAGGUGAAGAUGUGCACUGAUAACGGUUAAUCAUUUAUAAUUCCAUGAACUGGUUGAAAGCCAAUGUACUAUCAAAGUCGCGGCAGUAGUUCCUCAAGCCUCAGGUAGCCCCUGAAGCAAAAAAGAGAAGUCUUUACACCAGCCCAGGAAAACCCUGUCACUUGCUAACACUUAUCAACUAGGAAGAAGGUGAGUGCCAGACCUGCCCCCACUGGAGCUUAUGCCCUGGUGGAGGGAGCACAAGUCAGAGCAGGCAGAGGGGCGGUUCGAAGACCACCAGAAGAGAGAGGUCACGUGGAGCUGGAGUUACCGAGAAGUACUGUGCAGAGGAGCCUGAACUUUGGCCAGGGUCUACAAGUGGUCAAACUAAUGCCAGGUCGGGGUGGGGGUGGGGGCAACACUUGAACCCAUCAGCCUCAAAUGAGGUGCAACCAUUUCAGCGCCGAAAGAAGAAAGAGAUCAGCAGGAUUUCCUUUCCUUUCCUUCGUACAUCCACAGAAAUAACCAAAUAAAAAAGAAAGCAUAGGCUAUGAGUAUGGCCCAGGUUGUGGUCCGAUGUCGUCCAUUCUUCCUUUCACUGCACCCCUGCUCGAUCACUGACAUAAGUGGCCAAGGAUCAGAUUGACCUUGCAAGCUAAACGCUCCCUUCCCUGGCACACAUGACACACGUAACAUAUCAAGUCCACCUUUAUGUCCACCCAAUACAGUCUAAUUAAGUAUCGUAUCACAUUAUAGAACCUCAUCGUCACAUUCAGGCAUAAUCUAAUUUCAGUCCUACCGAAUUUUACAUUCUGACUAGUUCACUGGUCAGUGUGUGUCUUCUGCAUUGUGUAGCAGUUAAAGAUCAGGCUUGGGGCUGGUCCUGAACCCAUAACCUUAUGGAAUCAGUGUGGAAACGCCAAACAAAGUUACUUACAGUUCAGGGCCUCUUUUCUAGUGAGCAGCAUGGAAGACCAGAAACCCUUUAAAGUCUUGUUCCAGGCUUCACCUGUCAAGAAAAGGAAACAUCUUUAUAAAC
Molecule: long non-coding RNA, 8025 nt
Organism: Rattus norvegicus (Norway rat)
Lineage: Eukaryota; Metazoa; Chordata; Mammalia; Rodentia; Muridae
Source: RefSeq, a predicted model, not a curated record